RNAcentral lists this ribosomal RNA (985 nucleotides) under Janibacter melonis. RNAcentral's name for it is "bacterial SSU rRNA". It matches the Rfam family "Bacterial small subunit ribosomal RNA", at positions 307 to 1303 of the family's 1533-position model. Lineage: Bacteria; Bacillati; Actinomycetota; Actinomycetes; Micrococcales; Intrasporangiaceae. The record is from RNAcentral.
UAUCUAUCGGGUUUAUGACACAACACCAGAAUCCUACGGGAGGCAGCAGUGGUGAAUAUUGCACAAUGGGCGAAAGCCUGAUACAACGACGUCGCCUGAGGGGGGGGGGGGGUUCCCCCUCCUUAACCUCUUUCUGCAGGGAAGAAGCGAAAGUGACGGUACCUGCAGAAGAAGCACCGGCUAACUACGUGCCAGCAGCCGCGGUAAUACGUAGGGUGCGAGCGUUGUCCGGAAUUAUUGGGCGUAAAGAGCUUGUAGGCGGUUUGUCGCGUCUGCUGUGAAAAUCCGGGGCUCAACCCCGGACUUGCAGUGGGUACGGGCAGACUAGAGUGUGGUAGGGGAGACUGGAAUUCCUGGUGUAGCGGUGAAAUGCGCAGAUAUCAGGAGGAACACCGAUGGCGAAGGCAGGUCUCUGGGCCACUACUGACGCUGAGAAGCGAAAGCAUGGGGAGCGAACAGGAUUAGAUACCCUGGUAGUCCAUGCCGUAAACGUUGGGCGAUAGGUGUUGGACUCUUCCACGAGUUCCGUGCCGCAGCUAACGCCUUAAGCGCGCCCCCUGGGGAGUACGGCCGCAAGGCUAAAACUCAAAGGAAUUGACGGGGGCCCGCACAAGCGGCGGAGCAUGCGGAUUAAUUCGAUGCAACGCGAAGAACCUUACCAAGGCUUGACAUAUACCGGAAACAUCCAGAGAUGGGUGCCCCUUUUGGUCGGUAUACAGGUGGUGCAUGGUUGUCGUCAGCUCGUGUCGUGAGAUGUUGGGUUAAGUCCCGCAACGAGCGCAACCCUCGUUCUAUGUUGCCAGCACGUGAUGGUGGGGACUCAUAGGAGACUGCCGGGGUCAACUCGGAGGAAGGUGGGGAUGACGUCAAAUCAUCAUGCCCCUUAUGUCUUGGGCUUCACGCAUGCUACAAUGGCCGGUACAAAGGGCUGCGAUGCGGCAAGGUGGACCCAAUCCCAAAAAACCGGUCUCAGUUCGGAUUGGCG